CAUUCAGUUGGGCACUCUAAGGGGACUGCCGGUGAUAAGCCGAGAGGAAGGUGGGGAUGACGUCAAUUCCUCAUGGCCCUUACGGGCUGGGCUACACACGUGCUACAAUGGUGGUGACAGUGGGCAGCGAGACCGCGAGGUCAAGCUAAUCUCCAAAAGCCAUCUCAGUUCGGAUUGCACUCUGCAACUCGAGUGCAUGAAGUUGGAAUCGCUAGUAAUCGCGGAUCAGCAUGCCGCGGUGAAUACGUUCCCGGGCCUUGUACACACCGCCCGUCACACCAUGGGAGUUGGUUUUACCCGAAGGCGCUGUGCUAACCGCAAGGAGGCAUGCGACCACGGUAGGGUCAGCGACUGGGGUGAAGUCGUAACAAGGUAGCCGUAGGGGAACCUGCGGCUGGAUCACCUC
This 406-nucleotide ribosomal RNA is filed under the name alpha proteobacterium W-2027. RNAcentral describes it as "bacterial SSU rRNA". It matches the Rfam family "Bacterial small subunit ribosomal RNA", at positions 1122 to 1529 of the family's 1533-position model. Lineage: Bacteria; Pseudomonadati; Pseudomonadota; Alphaproteobacteria. The record is from RNAcentral.